AGUUCUGAGAAAGAAGGAAAUAAACACAGGCACCAAACCACUAUCCUAAGUUGACUGUCCUUUAAAUAUGUCAAGAUCCAGACUUUUCAGUGUCACCUCAGCGAUCUCAACGAUAGGGAUCUUGUGUUUGCCGCUAUUCCAGUUGGUGCUCUCGGACCUACCAUGCGAAGAAGAUGAAAUUAUUUCCUUAAAGCAUUUGGAACACGGGAUACUGGAUUCAUUCAGG
RNAcentral lists this long non-coding RNA (226 nucleotides) under Homo sapiens (human). RNAcentral's name for it is "HSALNT0066244". Lineage: Eukaryota; Metazoa; Chordata; Mammalia; Primates; Hominidae. The record is from RNAcentral.